Molecule: ribosomal RNA, 253 nt
Filed under: uncultured archaeon
Lineage: Archaea
Description: partial 16S ribosomal RNA
Rfam family: Archaeal small subunit ribosomal RNA
Source: RNAcentral
UACCAGCUCCUCGAGUGGUCGGGGCGUUUAUUGGGCCUAAAGCAUCCGUAGCCUGCUUAGUAGGUCCCCUGUUAAAUCCUACAGCCUAACUGUAGGACCGCAGGAGAUACCGUUAGGCUAGGAGGCGGGAGAGGCGGAUGGUAUUCCGUGGGUAGGGGUAAAAUCCUCUGAUCCAUGGAGGACCACCAAUGGCGAAGGCGGUCCGCCAGAACGCGCUCGACGGUGAGGGAUGAAAGCUGGGGGAGCGAACCGG